UCUUAUAAUGAAAAGGGGAAUACACCUUCCUCUACACUGUCAGUAUAAGCAGAUGUCAUUGCUUCUCCUAAUCCCAACCUAGCUAAAGUUUUAGCAAGUGAUAACAGCAAGCACCAUGUUUCUGGUUUCAAUGACAAGUGGCUGACUGAGUUUUCAUGGCUUACAAAUGUUAAAGGGGGUAUAAGCAAAAGUUAUUGUGAGAGGGGUUUUUCAACCCUAAAGAGGAUAAAGACAAAAUUGAGGAACAGACUGUCCAACAAAAUAACACUAUCUUAAAACAUUAUCCCUAGAAGGAGCAGAGAGUACAUAUAUAGAUGAAUAUUUAUAUUUUGACUGAUAAAUAACUUUUGUGUUCAAUUUAUUUCAUAUAAAUAUAUAUAUUCUUGUAAUCCAUAAAAAUACUCUGCAUUAUCAAA
RNAcentral lists this long non-coding RNA (416 nucleotides) under Mytilus galloprovincialis (Mediterranean mussel). The record is from RNAcentral. Lineage: Eukaryota; Metazoa; Mollusca; Bivalvia; Mytilida; Mytilidae.